UAGCCUGUUGGUGAGGUAACGGCUCACCAAGGCGAUGAUCGAUAGCUGGUCUGAGAGGAUGAUCAGCCACAUUGGGACUGAGACACGGCCCAAACUCCUACGGGAGGCAGCAGUGGGGAAUAUUGGACAAUGGGCGCAAGCCUGAUCCAGCCAUGCCGCGUGAGUGAUGACGGCCUUAGGGUUGUAAAGCUCUUUCGCUCGGGACGAUAAUGACGGUACCGAGAUAAGAAGCCCCGGCUAACUUCGUGCCAGCAGCCGCGGUAAUACGAAGGGGGCUAGCGUUGUUCGGAAUUACUGGGCGUAAAGCGCGUGUAGGCGGGUCUUUAAGUCAGGGGUGAAAUGCCAAGGCUCAACCUUGGAACUGCCUUUGAUACUGGAGAUCUUGAGUCCGGGAGAGGUGAGUGGAAUUGCGAGUGUAGAGGUGAAAUUCGUAGAUAUUCGCAAGAACACCAGUGGCGAAGGCGGCUCACUGGCCCGGAACUGACGCUGAGACGCGAAAGCGUGGGGAGCAAACAGGAUUAGAUACCCUGGUAGUCCACGCUGUAAACGAUGGAUGCUAGCCGUUGGGGAGCUUGCUCUUCAGUGGCGCAGCUAACGCUUUAAGCAUCCCGCCUGGGGAGUACGGUCGCAAGAUUAAAACUUAAAGGAA
This 649-nucleotide ribosomal RNA is filed under the name uncultured bacterium. RNAcentral describes it as "bacterial SSU rRNA". It matches the Rfam family "Bacterial small subunit ribosomal RNA", at positions 242 to 909 of the family's 1533-position model. The record is from RNAcentral.